AAUUGGAGGGCAAGUCUGGUGCCAGCAGCCGCGGUAAUUCCAGCUCCAAUAGCGUAUAUUAAAGUUGUUGCAGUUAAAAAGCUCGUAGUUGAAUUUCGGGAUCAAUAUUUCGGUCAUGCCGUUGGUAUGCACUGUUAUCAUUGAUUUCUCACCUUCUAAAGAACCGUAAUGCCAUUAAUUUGGUGUUACGGGGAAUUAGGACUGUUACCUUGAAAAAAUUAGAGUGUUUAAAGCAGGCUCACGCUUGAAUACAUUAGCAUGGAAUAAUGAAAUAGGACAUCCGAUUCUAUUUUGUUGGUUUCUAGGAUCGAUGUAAUGAUUAAUAGGGAUAGUUGGGGGCAUUAGUAUUCAAUUGUCAGAGGUGAAAUUCUUGGAUUUAUUGAAGACUAACUACUACGAAAGCAUUUGCCAAGGAUGUUUUCAUUAAUCAAGAACGAAAGUUAGGGGAUCGAAGACGAUCAGAUACCGUCGUAGUCUUAACCAUAAACUAUGCCGACUAGGGAUCGGAUGAUGUUAAUUUUUUAAUGACUCAUUCGGCGCCUUACGGGAAACCAAAGUGU
This 560-nucleotide ribosomal RNA is filed under the name uncultured Glomus. Its description in RNAcentral is "SSU rRNA". It matches the Rfam family "Eukaryotic small subunit ribosomal RNA", at positions 546 to 1106 of the family's 1831-position model. The record is from RNAcentral. Lineage: Eukaryota; Fungi; Glomeromycota; Glomeromycetes; Glomerales; Glomeraceae.